Molecule: transfer RNA, 40 nt
Filed under: Gillisella vitis
Lineage: Bacteria; Pseudomonadati; Pseudomonadota; Alphaproteobacteria; Hyphomicrobiales; Rhizobiaceae
Description: Agrobacterium vitis tRNA-Ala
Source: RNAcentral
GGGGCUGUAGCUCAGCUGGGAGAGCACCUGCUUUGCAAGC